GAGGGUAUAGCUCAGUGGUAGAGUGCAUGCCUAGUAUGCACAACGUCCUGAGUUCAAUCCCCAGUACCUCCA
This 72-nucleotide transfer RNA is filed under the name Camelus bactrianus (Bactrian camel). It matches the Rfam family "tRNA". Rfam says of the family: Transfer RNA (tRNA) molecules are approximately 80 nucleotides in length. Their secondary structure includes four short double-helical elements and three loops (D, anti-codon, and T loops). Lineage: Eukaryota; Metazoa; Chordata; Mammalia; Artiodactyla; Camelidae. RNAcentral also lists the same sequence under 2 other names. The record is from Rfam by way of RNAcentral.